Molecule: ribosomal RNA, 468 nt
Filed under: uncultured bacterium
Lineage: Bacteria
Description: partial 16S ribosomal RNA
Rfam family: Bacterial small subunit ribosomal RNA
Source: RNAcentral
GACGAACGCUGGCGGCGUGCUUAACACAUGCAAGUCGAACGGAAAGGCCCUGCUUUUGUGGGGUGCUCGAGUGGCGAACGGGUGAGUAACACGUGAGUAACCUUCCCUUGACUUUGGGAUAACUUCAGGAAACUGGGGCUAAUACCGGAUAUGAGCUCCUGCUGCAUGGUGGGGGUUGGAAAGUUUCGUCGGUUGGGGAUGGACUCGCGGCUUAUCAGCUUGUUGGUGGGGUAGUGGCUUACCAAGGCUUUGACGGGUAGCCGGCCUGAGAGGGUGACCGGCCACAUUGGGACUGAGAUACGGACCAGACUCCUACGGGAGGCAGCAGGGGGGAAUAUUGCACAAUGGGCGGAAGCCUGAUGCAGAAACGCCGCGUGCGGGAUGACGGCCUUCGGGUUGUAAACCGCUUUCGCCUGUGACGAAGCGUGAGUGACGGUAAUGGGUAAAGAAGCACCGGCUAACUACGUG